GGAAGAAACACUUUGCUCGAGCUAUAAGCUUGGAUGUAACAUGCUCCAGUUUGGUGUGCUUUAAAUUCUUUGUACUAGAGCUACUUUUUUUGACUGUGUAUUCCCAACUAGUUUUGGGGAGUUAUUUUUUUCCCUGUUUGUGCUGCUUAUAAUUAUUUUUCUUAUGAAUGAUGAAUUUUUUGGCUGCACAAGGAAAUGUGUUUAUUGACUUUCCCAUUUCACUGUUAAUGUUGGUGAUGGUUCAUUUGUCCCUCAAAAUUUCCCUGGGAACCUCCCAACUUUUUCUCACAAGGUGGUGGCUAUGGACUGCCUUGAUAGUGUAAGAGUUGGUAUUUUAACAUUGCGGAAAUAAUGCAAAUUGUUUCUACCCCAUACAAUCCUGGAAAUUUC
Molecule: unclassified non-coding RNA, 390 nt
Filed under: Hevea brasiliensis (rubber tree)
Lineage: Eukaryota; Viridiplantae; Streptophyta; Magnoliopsida; Malpighiales; Euphorbiaceae
Source: RNAcentral